UACGUAGGCAGCAAGCGUUGUUCGGAGUUACUGGGCGUAAAGGGUGUGUAGGCGGUUUCGUAAGUUCGGUGUGAAAUCUCCCGGCUCAACUGGGAGGGUGCGCCGGAAACUGCGAAGCUUGAGCAUGGGAGAGGGAAGCGGAAUUCCUGGUGUAGCGGUGAAAUGCGUAGAUAUCAGGAGGAACACCGGCGGUGUAGACGGCUUCCGGGACCAUUGCUGACGCUGAGACACGAAAGCGUGGGGAGCAAACAGG
This 253-nucleotide ribosomal RNA is filed under the name uncultured bacterium. Its description in RNAcentral is "partial 16S ribosomal RNA". It matches the Rfam family "Bacterial small subunit ribosomal RNA", at positions 524 to 776 of the family's 1533-position model. The record is from RNAcentral.